GACGAACGCUGGCGGCGUGCUUAACACAUGCAAGUCGAGCGGUAAGGCCCUUUCGGGGGUACACGAGCGGCGAACGGGUGAGUAACACGUGGGUGACCUGCCCUCAGCUCUGGGAUAAGCCUGGGAAACCGGGUCUAAUACCGGAUAUGACUCCAUGACGCAUGUUGUGGGGUGGAAAGCCUUGUGCGGCUGAGGAUGGGCCCGCGGCCUAUCAGCUUGUUGGUGGGGUGANGGCCUACCAAGGCGACGACGGGUAGCCGGCCUGAGAGGGCGACCGGCCACACUGGGACUGAGACACGGCCCAGACUCCUACGGGAGGCAGCAGUGGGGAAUCUUGCGCAAUGGGCGAAAGCCUGACGCAGCGACGCCGCGUGAGGGAUGAAUGCCUUCGGGUUGUAAACCCCUUUCAGCAGGGACGAAAUUGACGUACCUGCAGAAGAAGCCCCGGCCAACUACGUGCCAGCCGCCGCUGU
This 473-nucleotide ribosomal RNA is filed under the name uncultured bacterium. Its description in RNAcentral is "bacterial SSU rRNA". It matches the Rfam family "Bacterial small subunit ribosomal RNA", at positions 28 to 521 of the family's 1533-position model. The record is from RNAcentral.